AAGACUAUAGACCUGCGGAGUACCUGCGGAGGGAUCAUUGCAAAAGAUCGCUCGCCAGAAUAACCUUUUGGCUGAGCAAAAGAUCCAACCACUCUUGUCAACCGUUUACCGUCUUUGGUGUCGUAGUGCCCGUCUUGGCCCUUCGGGUGCCCAGGAUUGCGGCGCGUCUUCUCGUCGACCCGCCUUUUUUGGAGGGGACGCGUGGAGGCGGCACCGCUGGUCUGAUGAUCCACGCUUGCC
This 240-nucleotide unclassified non-coding RNA is filed under the name soil metagenome. RNAcentral's name for it is "partial contains 5.8S ribosomal RNA, internal transcribed spacer 2, and large subunit ribosomal RNA". The record is from RNAcentral.